GCUCACCAAGGCUUACGGGUAGCCGGCCUGAGAGGGUGAUCGGCCACACUGGGACUGAGACACUGCCCAGACUCCUACGGGAGGCUGCAGUCGAGAAUCAUUGACAAUGUACGAAAGUAUGAUCAUGCGACGCCGCGUGGAGGAAGACGGCCUUCGGGUUGUAAACUCCUGUCAGCAGGGAGGAAGGAUAGCACUCUUAAUACGAUUGCUAUUUGACAGUACCUGCAGAGGAAGUCACGGCUAACUCUGUGCCAGCAGCCGCGGUAAUACAGAGGUGGCGAACGUUGUUCGGAUUUACUGGGCGUAAAGGGUCCGCAGGCGGAUCGGUAUGUCAGAUGUGAAAGCCCACGGCUUAACUGUGGAAUUGCAUUUGAAACUGCCGGUCUAGAGUACUGGAGGGGAGAAGGGAACACUUGGUGUAGCGGUGAAAUGCGUAGAUAUCAAGUGGAACACCGGUGGCGAAGGCGCUUCUCUGGACAGAUACUGACGCUCAUGGACGAAAGCUUGGGUAGCGAAAGGGAUUAGAUACCCCUGUAGUCCAAGCCGUAAACGGUGUGCACUGGGCGUGGGAGGCUUUACCCCCUUCCGUGCCUGAGCUAACGCAUUAAGUGCACCGCCUGGGGAGUACGGUCGCGAGAUUAAAACUCAAAGGAAUUGACGGGGACCCGCACAAGCGGUGGAGCAUGUGGCUUAAUUCGAUGCAACGCGAAGAACCUUACCUGGGCUUGACAUAUAGCUGCAUACGAUCCGAAAGGAACGUAGCCUUCGAGGGUGCUAUACAGGUGCUGCAUGGCUGUCGUCAGCUCGUGCCGUGAGGUGUUGGGUUAAGUCCCGCAACGAGCGCAACCCCUGUGUUUAGUUGCCAGCACGUAAUGGUGGGAACUCUAAACAGACUGCUGGUGAAAACCAGAGGAAGGUGGGGAUGACGUCAAGUCAGUAUGGUCCUUAUGUCCAGGGCUGCACACUUGCUACAAUGGGUGAUACAAUGGGAGGCUAAGCCGCGAGGUGGAGCAAAUCCUCAAAGUCACCCCCAGUUCGGACUGGAGUCUGAAACUCGACUCCAUGAAGUUGGAAUCGCUAGUAAAGGUAUAUCAGCUACGAUACCUUGAAUACGCUCCCGGGUCUUGUACACACCGCCCGUCACAUCACGGAAGUCUGUUGCACCCGAAGUUGUUGAUCCAACCCGUCAAGGGAGGAAGACACCUAAGGUGUGAUAGGUAACUGGGAUGAAGUCGUAACAAGGUA
This 1245-nucleotide ribosomal RNA is filed under the name metagenome. RNAcentral describes it as "bacterial SSU rRNA". It matches the Rfam family "Bacterial small subunit ribosomal RNA", at positions 263 to 1498 of the family's 1533-position model. The record is from RNAcentral.